CCUACGGGAGGCUGCAGUGAGGAAUAUUGGUCAAUGGGCGCGAGCCUGAACCAGCCAAGUCGCGUGAGGGAGGACGGCCCUACGGGUUGUAAACCUCUUUUGUCGGGGAGCAACGGGCGCCACGUGUGGCGUCACUGAGAGUACCCGGAGAAAAAGCAUCGGCUAACUCCGUGCCAGCAGCAGCGGUAAUACGGAGGAUGCGAGCGGUAUCCGGAUUUAGUGGGGUUAAAGGGUGCUUAGGCGGAUCGUUAAGUCAGUGGUCAAAUAUAGGGGCUCAACCCCUUCCCGCCAUUGCAACUGGCGUUCUUGAGUGGAAGAGAAGUAUGCGGAAUGCGUGGUGUAGCGGUGAAAUGCAUAGAUAUCACGCAGAACCCCGAUUGCGAAGGCAGCAUGCCGGCUUCCGACUGACGCUGAAGCACGAAAGCGUGGGGAUCGAACAGGAUUAGAUACCCUGGUAGUC
This 460-nucleotide ribosomal RNA is filed under the name uncultured bacterium. Its description in RNAcentral is "partial 16S ribosomal RNA". It matches the Rfam family "Bacterial small subunit ribosomal RNA", at positions 338 to 795 of the family's 1533-position model. The record is from RNAcentral.